GUGAACGCUGGCGGCGUGCCUAACACAUGCAAGUCGAGCGAGUUUUUACAGAACACCGUAAGAAUUAGCGGCAAACGGGUGAGUAACACGUGGGAAACCUGCCUUAGAGUGGAGGAUACCCCCGAGAAAUCGGGGUUAAUACUCCAUAAGACCACAAUCUGGCAUCAGAAUGAGGUCAAAGACGCAAGUCGCUUUGAGAUGGUCCCGCGUCCUAUCAGCUAGUUGGUGAGGUAACGGCUCACCAAGGCUAUGACGGGUAGCCGGCCUGAAAGGGUGUACGGCCACACUGGAACUGAGACACGGUCCAGACUCCUACGGGAGGCAGCAGUGGGGAAUUUUGGACAAUGGGCGAAAGCCUGAUCCAGCGACGCCGCGUGGAGGAUGAAGGCCUUCGGGUUGUAAACUCCUUUUGGCAGGGACGAAUAAAUUGACGGUACCUGCAGAAUAAGCCACGGCUAACUACGU
Molecule: ribosomal RNA, 465 nt
Filed under: uncultured bacterium
Lineage: Bacteria
Description: bacterial SSU rRNA
Rfam family: Bacterial small subunit ribosomal RNA
Source: RNAcentral